AGCUGCCCACCAGGGGAAACAAGCUCUACACUGGCUGCAGGACGGGCAGUGGAGAGAGCCAGGACGGGGCUCAGGAGGAGACAGCAGGGAUUCACAUCCCUGCACCCCCUCGGAGGCCAGCAGCAGAAGGUCAUCAGGUAUCUCGAGCCACACAAAGAAUGUCGGGUCCCCCUAAAAGCACCUUGAUGUGAAAGGGUCUGCUGACCAGAGCACACGGGAGGUUUCUCCUCGAGGUGGAGAAGCAAGCAGGAAACGUCAUUGUGUGAUUGUGUCUUCAAGUACGAAUCAGACACAGAGGGAAGCCAGUGAGAGUGUCCUCUGCUGGACACUGGCUCCCUGGGUCGGGAUGGGGUCUCCCAGAGCUCUGCGUGGCCGGCCCAGCCCACACGAGCGAGGCCCUCUGCGGAUGUGUGCUGCGGUUGCUUCCCGAAGGCUGGACCCAUGAAGGUGACCUUUGAGACAAGCUCCGCGCCUCCUUCCGGCGAGGUCUUGGCGGCCAAGGCAAAGCCUCUGCUGCCAUCUGGUGGUGCAUCUUGGAAUCGC
Eubalaena glacialis (North Atlantic right whale) is the source of this 543-nucleotide long non-coding RNA. RefSeq lists it as uncharacterized. The record is from RefSeq and is a predicted model, not a curated record. The transcript is spliced from 3 exons. NCBI's taxonomy places the organism in Eukaryota, Metazoa, Chordata, Mammalia, Artiodactyla, Balaenidae.